This 200-nucleotide unclassified non-coding RNA is filed under the name Ascomycota sp. RNAcentral's name for it is "partial internal transcribed spacer 2". The record is from RNAcentral. Lineage: Eukaryota; Fungi; Ascomycota.
UUAAGUUCAGCGGGUAUCCCUACCUGAUCCGAGGUCAAGAGCAAAUGUAUAGGCUUACUGGACGCCAACGUUCAGGCCGAGGGACGCAAAAUGUGCUGCGCUCCAAGGCUUAUACGCCGGCUGCCAAUCACUUUAAGGCGAGUCCCACAUGUAAAACGGGGACAAACACCCAACACCAAGCAGUGCUUGAAGGUACAAAU